RNAcentral lists this ribosomal RNA (299 nucleotides) under uncultured bacterium. Its description in RNAcentral is "partial 16S ribosomal RNA". It matches the Rfam family "Bacterial small subunit ribosomal RNA", at positions 28 to 320 of the family's 1533-position model. The record is from RNAcentral.
GACGAACGCUGACGGCGUGCUUUAGACAUGCAAGUCGAACGCGAAAGCCCUUCGGGGUGAGUAGAGUGGCGAACGGGUGAGUAACACGUGGGUAACCUACCCCUCGCAGGGGGAUAACCGGGGGAAACCCCGGCUAAUAGCCCGUACGCUACGUUGGGCCGCAUGGCCCUUCGAGGAAAGGUAGCUUCGGCCAUCCGGCGAGGGAUGGGUCCGCGGUACAUUAGCUAGUUGGUGGGGUAACGGCUCACCAAGGCUACGAUGAUAGCUGGUCUGAGAGGAUGAUCAGCCACACUGGGACU